GAUGAACGCUAGCUACAUGCCUAAUACAUGCAAGUCGUGCGAACACGCGUGCUGCUUUCUCCUCUUACGUUAGCGACGGGCGGACGGGUGACUCGUGGGUACCCUACCUAUCCGACUCGGAUGACUUCGGGAGACCGGAGAUGAUACCGGACAAUAUAUUUCACCGCUUUGUUCGAUAGUUUAAGUCGGUUUUUCUGUCACUUAUAGAUGGCUCUGCGCCGCAUUAGCUAGUUGGUAAGGUAACGGCUUACCAAGGCAACGAUGCGUAGCCGACCUGAGAGGGUGAAAGGCCACACUGGAAGGGAGACAGGGUCCAGACUCACACGGGAGGCAGCAGGAGGGAAUGUACCGCAAUGGGCGAGAGCGUGACGGAGCAACCCCGCGUGAGUGAUGAAGGUCGUCGGUUCGUAAAGCUCUGCGAUUAGGGAAGAACAAAAGGGGCAGUAAGUAUGCAGGUCUUGACGGUACCUAAAGAGAAAGGAACGGCUAACUACGUG
RNAcentral lists this ribosomal RNA (497 nucleotides) under uncultured bacterium. RNAcentral describes it as "partial 16S ribosomal RNA". It matches the Rfam family "Bacterial small subunit ribosomal RNA", at positions 28 to 507 of the family's 1533-position model. The record is from RNAcentral.